This 698-nucleotide ribosomal RNA is filed under the name uncultured bacterium. RNAcentral describes it as "bacterial SSU rRNA". It matches the Rfam family "Bacterial small subunit ribosomal RNA", at positions 618 to 1316 of the family's 1533-position model. The record is from RNAcentral.
GAAUUGCAUUCGAUACUGGUCAGCUAGAGUAUGGGAGAGGAUGGUAGAAUUCCAGGUGUAGCGGUGAAAUGCGUAGAGAUCUGGAGGAAUACCGAUGGCGAAGGCAGCCAUCUGGCCUAAUACUGACGCUGAGGUACGAAAGCAUGGGGAGCAAACAGGAUUAGAUACCCUGGUAGUCCAUGUCGUAAACGAUGUCUACUAGCCGUUGGGGCCUUUGAGGCUUUAGUGGCGCAGCUAACGCGAUAAGUAGACCGCCUGGGGAGUACGGUCGCAAGACUAAAACUCAAAUGAAUUGACGGGGGCCCGCACAAGCGGUGGAGCAUGUGGUUUAAUUCGAUGCAACGCGAAGAACCUUACCUGGCCUUGACAUAGUAGAAACUUUCCAGAGAUGGAUUGGUGCCUUCGGGAAUCUACAUACAGGUGCUGCAUGGCUGUCGUCAGCUCGUGUCGUGAGAUGUUGGGUUAAGUCCCGCAACGAGCGCAACCCUUUUCCUUACUUGCCAGCAUUUCGGAUGGGAACUUUAAGGAUACUGCCAGUGACAAACUGGAGGAAGGCGGGGACGACGUCAAGUCAUCAUGGCCCUUACGGCCAGGGCUACACACGUGCUACAAUGGUCGGUACAAAGGGUUGCUACCUAGCGAUAGGAUGCUAAUCUCAAAAAGCCGAUCGUAGUCCGGAUUGGAGUCUGCAACUCGAC